RNAcentral lists this unclassified non-coding RNA (391 nucleotides) under soil metagenome. RNAcentral describes it as "partial contains 5.8S ribosomal RNA, internal transcribed spacer 2, and large subunit ribosomal RNA". The stretch from base 1 to 122 matches the Rfam family "5.8S ribosomal RNA", at positions 35 to 154 of the family's 154-position model. The record is from RNAcentral.
GAUGAAGAACGCAGCGAAAUGCGAUACUUGGUGUGAAUUGCAGAAUCCCGUGAACCAUCGAGUCUUUAAACGCAAGUUGCGCCCGAAGCCAUUAGGCCGAGGGCACGCCUGCCUGGGCGUCACACGUCGUUGCCCCCCCAUCUACUCCUUCGGGAUUGCGGGGGGCGGAUGAUGGCCUCUCGUGCGCCUCGUCGCGCGGUUGGCCUAAAUGCCAAGUCCUCGGCGACGCACGCCACGACAAUCGGUGGUUGCGAAACCUCGGUUGCCUGUCGUGUGCGGUCGUCGCGCAUCGAGGGCUCGAAAAAAUUGCCGGGCUUCGGCUCGACUUUCAACGCGACCCCAGGUCAGGCGGGGUUACCCGCUGAAUUUAAGCAUAUCAAUAAGCGGAGGA